GGCGUAAAGGGUUUGUAGGCUGCUUUGAAAGUCUUAACUUUAAUAUAGCCAAAGUAAAGUUAGAUCAAUUAAAGCUAGAAUCAAAUAGAGGUUAUAUUGAAUAAUACUUAGAGGAGGGAUUAAAUCCGUAGAUCCUAAGGAGAAUACUAAGGGCGAAAGCAUUUUACCACUAAUGAUUGACGCUGAGAAACGAAGGUGAGGAUAGGAAAUAGGAUUAGAUACCCCGGUACCCCUCUCUGUCAACGAUGAAUGGUAGCCUAGUUACAAAACUAGGCGAUGUUAACACGUUAACCAUUCCGCCUUGUGAGUACGAUUGCAAAAUUGAAAACAAAAAAAUUAGU
This 341-nucleotide ribosomal RNA is filed under the name Gloeophyllum sepiarium. RNAcentral describes it as "SSU rRNA". It matches the Rfam family "Bacterial small subunit ribosomal RNA", at positions 557 to 913 of the family's 1533-position model. Lineage: Eukaryota; Fungi; Basidiomycota; Agaricomycetes; Gloeophyllales; Gloeophyllaceae. The record is from RNAcentral.